GACGAACGCUGGCGGCGUGCCUAAUACAUGCAAGUUGAGCGGUGAAGAUUGGUGCUUGCACCAAUUUGAAGAGCAGCGAACGGGUGAGUAACGCGUGGGGAAUCUGCCUUUGAGCGGGGGACAACAUUUGGAAACGAAUGCUAAUACCGCAUAACAACUUUAAACAUAAGUUUUAAGUUUGAAAGAUGCAAUUGCAUCACUCAAAGAUGAUCCCGCGUUGUAUUAGCUAGUUGGUGAGGUAAAGGCUCACCAAGGCGAUGAUACAUAGCCGACCUGAGAGGGUGAUCGGCCACAUUGGGACUGAGACACGGCCCAAACUCCUACGGGAGGCAGCAGUAGGGAAUCUUCGGCAAUGGACGAAAGUCUGACCGAGCAACGCCGCGUGAGUGAAGAAGGUUUUCGGAUCGUAAAACUCUGUUGGUAGAGAAGAACGUUGGUGAGAGUGGAAAGCUCAUCAAGUGACGGUAACUACCCAGAAAGGGACGGCUAACUACGUG
RNAcentral lists this ribosomal RNA (497 nucleotides) under uncultured bacterium. RNAcentral's name for it is "partial 16S ribosomal RNA". It matches the Rfam family "Bacterial small subunit ribosomal RNA", at positions 28 to 507 of the family's 1533-position model. The record is from RNAcentral.